This 113-nucleotide non-coding RNA is filed under the name chicken gut metagenome. Its description in RNAcentral is "FMN riboswitch (RFN element)". It matches the Rfam family "FMN riboswitch aptamer (RFN element)". From Rfam's summary of the family: The RFN element is a highly conserved domain that is found frequently in the 5'-untranslated regions of prokaryotic mRNAs that encode for flavin mononucleotide (FMN) biosynthesis and transport proteins. This element is a metabolite-dependent riboswitch that directly binds FMN in the absence of proteins. The record is from RNAcentral.
GUCUUUGGGGCAGGGUGAAAUUCCCUACCGAUGGUAUAGUCCAUGACCCGCUUUUAAGCGGCUGAUCUGGUGCAAUUCCAGAACCGACGGUAUAGUCCGGAUGGGAAAAGACG